GGGGAUGACGGUCAAAUCAUCAUGCCCCUUAUGACCUGGGCUACACACGUGCUACAAUGGUUGGUACAACGAGUUGCGAGUCCGGUGACGGGCGAGCUAACUCUACUUAAAGCCAAUCUCAGUUCGGAUUGUAGGCUGCAACUCGCCUACAUGAAGUCGGAAUCGCUAGUAAUCGCGGAUCAGCACGCCGCGGUGAAUACGUUCCCGGGCCUU
RNAcentral lists this ribosomal RNA (213 nucleotides) under uncultured Streptococcus sp. RNAcentral describes it as "partial 16S ribosomal RNA". It matches the Rfam family "Bacterial small subunit ribosomal RNA", at positions 1175 to 1382 of the family's 1533-position model. The record is from RNAcentral. Lineage: Bacteria; Bacillati; Bacillota; Bacilli; Lactobacillales; Streptococcaceae.